AAUAGAUACCCGGUAGUCCACGCCGUAAACGAUGAGUGCUAAGUGUUAGAGGGUUUCCGCCCUUUAGUGCUGCAGCUAACGCAUUAAGCACUCCGCCUGGGGAGUACGGCCGCAAGGCCGAAACUCAAAGGAAUUGACGGGGGCCCGCACAAGCGGUGGAGCAUGUGGUUUAAUUCGAAGCAACGCGAAGAACCUUACCAGGUCUUGACAUCCUCUGCCAACCCUAGAGAUAGGGCGUUCCCCUUCGGGGGACAGAGUGACAGGUGGUGCAUGGUUGUCGUCAGCUCGUGUCGUGAGAUGUUGGGUUAAGUCCCGCAACGAGCGCAACCCUUGAUCUUAGUUGCCAGCAUUUCAGUUGGGCACUCUAAGGUGACUGCCGGUGACAAACCGGAGGAAGGUGGGGAUGACGUCAAAUCAUCAUGCCCCUUAUGACCUGGGCUACACACGUGCUACAAUGGAUGGUACAAAGAGCUGCGAACCCGCGAGGGUAAGCCAAUCUCAUAAAGCCAUUCUCAGUUUGGA
This 522-nucleotide ribosomal RNA is filed under the name uncultured bacterium. RNAcentral's name for it is "bacterial SSU rRNA". It matches the Rfam family "Bacterial small subunit ribosomal RNA", at positions 777 to 1297 of the family's 1533-position model. The record is from RNAcentral.